This 218-nucleotide ribosomal RNA is filed under the name uncultured bacterium. RNAcentral's name for it is "partial 16S ribosomal RNA". It matches the Rfam family "Bacterial small subunit ribosomal RNA", at positions 269 to 504 of the family's 1533-position model. The record is from RNAcentral.
CAAGGCGACGAUCGGUAGCCGGACUGAGAGGUUGAACGGCCACAUUGGGACUGAGACACGGCCCAAACUCCUACGGGAGGCAGCAGUGGGGAAUAUUGCACAAUGGGGGAAACCCUGAUGCAGCGACGCCGCGUGAGCGAUGAAGUAUUUCGGUAUGUAAAGCUCUAUCAGCAGGGAAGAAACUGACGGUACCUGACUAAGAAGCACCGGCUAACUAC